This 423-nucleotide ribosomal RNA is filed under the name uncultured bacterium. RNAcentral describes it as "bacterial SSU rRNA". It matches the Rfam family "Bacterial small subunit ribosomal RNA", at positions 207 to 622 of the family's 1533-position model. The record is from RNAcentral.
AAGACCUUGCGCUUUUGGAGCGGCCGAUGUCUGAUUAGCUUGUUGGUAAGGUAAAAGCUUACCAAGGCUUCGAUCAGUAGCUGGUCUGAGAGGACGACCAGCCACACUGGGACUGAGACACGGCCCAGACUCCUACGGGAGGCAGCAGUGGGGAAUUUUGGACAAUGGGGGCAACCCUGAUCCAGCCAUGCCGCGUGAGUGAAGAAGGCCUUCGGGUUGUAAAGCUCUUUCAGCCGGAACGAAACGGUUACGGUUAAUACCCGUGACUACUGACGGUACCGGAAGAAGAAGCACCGGCUAACUACGUGCCAGCAGCCGCGGUAAUACGUAGGGUGCGAGCGUUAAUCGGAAUUACUGGACGUAAAGCGUGCGCAGGUGGUUUUGUAAGUCAGAUGUGAAAUCCCCGGGCUCAACCUGGGAACU